AACGAACGCUGGCGGCAUGCCUAACACAUGCAAGUCGAACGAGACCUUCGGGUCUAGGGGCGCACGGGUGCGUAACGCGUGGGAACCUGCACUUAGGUUCGGAAUAACUCCCCGAAAGGGGUGCUAAUACCGGAUAAUGUCUUCGGACCAAAGAUUUAUCGCCUUUGGAUGGGCCCGCGUUGGAUUAGCUGGUUGGUAGGGUAAAAGCCUACCAAGGCGACGAUCCAUAGCUGGUCUGAGAGGAUGAUCAGCCACACUGGGACUGAGACACGGCCCAGACUCCUACGGGAUGCAGCAGUGGGGAAUAUUGCACCAUGGGCGAAGUCCUGAUCCAGCUAUGCCGCGUGAGUGAUGAAGGCCUUAGGGUUGUAAAGCUCUUUUACCCGGGAUGAUAAUGACAGUACCGGGAGAAUAAGCUCCGGCUAACUCCGUG
This 433-nucleotide ribosomal RNA is filed under the name uncultured bacterium. RNAcentral's name for it is "partial 16S ribosomal RNA". It matches the Rfam family "Bacterial small subunit ribosomal RNA", at positions 29 to 507 of the family's 1533-position model. The record is from RNAcentral.